AUACAUGCAAGUCGAGCGAACAGAUGAGAAGCUUGCUUCUCUGAUGUUAGCGGCGGACGGGUGAGUAACACGUGGGUAACCUACCUAUAAGACUGGGAUAACUCCGGGAAACCGGGGCUAAUACCGGAUAAUAUUUUGAACCGCAUGGUUCAAUAGUGAAAGACGGUUUCGGCUGUCACUUAUAGAUGGACCCGCGCCGUAUUAGCUAGUUGGUAAGGUAACGGCUUACCAAGGCGACGAUACGUAGCCGACCUGAGAGGGUGAUCGGCCACACUGGAACUGAGACACGGUCCAGACUCCUACGGGAGGCAGCAGUAGGGAAUCUUCCGCAAUGGGCGAAAGCCUGACGGAGCAACGCCGCGUGAGUGAUGAAGGUCUUCGGAUCGUAAAACUCUGUUGUUAGGGAAGAACAAAUUUGUUAGUAACUGAACAAGUCUUGACGGUACCUAACCAGAAAGCCACGGCUAACUACGUGCCAGCAGCCGCGGUAAUACGUAGGUGGCAAGCGUUAUCCGGAAUUAUUGGGCGUAAAGCGCGCGUAGGCGGUUUCUUAAGUCUGAUGUGAAAGCCCACGGCUCAACCGUGGAGGGUCAUUGGAAACUGGGAAACUUGAGUGCAGAAGAGGAGAGUGGAAUUCCAUGUGUAGCGGUGAAAUGCGCAGAGAUAUGGAGGAACACCAGUGGCGAAGGCGGCUCUCUGGUCUGUAACUGACGCUGAUGUGCGAAAGCGUGGGGAUCAAACAGGAUUAGAUACCCUGGUAGUCCACGCCGUAAACGAUGAGUGCUAAGUGUUAGGGGGUUUCCGCCCCUUAGUGCUGCAGCUAACGCAUUAAGCACUCCGCCUGGGGAGUACGACCGCAAGGUUGAAACUCAAAGGAAUUGACGGGGACCCGCACAAGCGGUGGAGCAUGUGGUUUAAUUCGAAGCAACGCGAAGAACCUUACCAAAUCUUGACAUCCUUUGACCGCUCUAGAGAUAGAGUCUUCCCCUUCGGGGGACAAAGUGACAGGUGGUGCAUGGUUGUCGUCAGCUCGUGUCGUGAGAUGUUGGGUUAAGUCCCGCAACGAGCGCAACCCUUAAGCUUAGUUGCCAUCAUUAAGUUGGGCACUCUAGGUUGACUGCCGGUGACAAACCGGAGGAAGGUGGGGAUGACGUCAAAUCAUCAUGCCCCUUAUGAUUUGGGCUACACACGUGCUACAAUGGAUAAUACAAAGGGCAGCGAAUCCGCGAGGCCAAGCAAAUCCCAUAAAAUUAUUCUCAGUUCGGAUUGUAGUCUGCAACUCGACUACAUGAAGCUGGAAUCGCUAGUAAUCGUAGAUCAGCAUGCUACGGUGAAUACGUUCCCGGGUCUUGUACACACCGCCCGUCACACCACGAGAGUUUGUAACACCCGAAGCCGGUGGAGUAACCUUUUAGGAGCUAGCCGUCGAAGGUGG
Molecule: ribosomal RNA, 1435 nt
Filed under: Mammaliicoccus sciuri
Lineage: Bacteria; Bacillati; Bacillota; Bacilli; Caryophanales; Staphylococcaceae
Description: bacterial SSU rRNA
Rfam family: Bacterial small subunit ribosomal RNA
Source: RNAcentral